This 314-nucleotide ribosomal RNA is filed under the name uncultured soil bacterium. Its description in RNAcentral is "bacterial SSU rRNA". It matches the Rfam family "Bacterial small subunit ribosomal RNA", at positions 1082 to 1397 of the family's 1533-position model. The record is from RNAcentral.
AAGUCCCGUAACGAGCGCAACCCUCGCCCUUAGUUGCCAUCAUUUAGUUGGGCACUCUAAGGGGACUGCCGGUGAUAAGCCGGAGGAAGGUGGGGAUGACGUCAAGUCCUCAUGGCCCUUACGGGCUGGGCUACACACGUGCUACAAUGGCGGUGACAGAGGGAUGCAAAGGGGCAACCCUUCGCAAAUCUCAAAAAUCCGUCUCAGUUCGGAUUGGGGUCUGCAACUCGACCCCAUGAAGUUGGAAUCGCUAGUAAUGGCGCAUCAGCUACGGCGCCGUGAAUACGUUCCCAGGCCUUGUACACACCGCCCGU